Molecule: ribosomal RNA, 500 nt
Filed under: uncultured Davidiella
Lineage: Eukaryota; Fungi; Ascomycota; Dothideomycetes; Cladosporiales; Cladosporiaceae
Description: eukaryotic LSU rRNA
Rfam family: 5.8S ribosomal RNA (bases 141-294)
Source: RNAcentral
UUCGGCCUGGUUAUUCAUAACCCUUUGUUGUCCGACUCUGUUGCCUCCGGGGCGACCCUGCCUUCGGGCGGGGGCUCCGGGUGGACACUUCAAACUCUUGCGUAACUUUGCAGUCUGAGUAAACUUAAUUAAUAAAUUAAAACUUUUAACAACGGAUCUCUUGGUUCUGGCAUCGAUGAAGAACGCAGCGAAAUGCGAUAAGUAAUGUGAAUUGCAGAAUUCAGUGAAUCAUCGAAUCUUUGAACGCACAUUGCGCCCAUUGGUAUUCCAAUGGGCAUGCCUGUUCGAGCGUCAUUUGUACCCUCAAGCUUUGCUUGGUGUUGGGCGUUUGUCUUUCGAGACUCGCCUUAAAAAGAUUGGCAGCCGGCAUACUGGUUUCGGAGCGCAGCACAAAUUGCGGUCUGUUCCUGAAUGUUGACGUCCAUGAAGCCCCCAUUAUCACUUUUGACCUCGGAUCAGGUAGGGAUACCCGCUGAACUUAAGCAUAUCAAUAAGCGGAG